This 460-nucleotide ribosomal RNA is filed under the name uncultured bacterium. RNAcentral's name for it is "partial 16S ribosomal RNA". It matches the Rfam family "Bacterial small subunit ribosomal RNA", at positions 338 to 795 of the family's 1533-position model. The record is from RNAcentral.
CCUACGGGUGGCAGCAGUGAGGAAUAUUGGUCAAUGGACGCAAGUCUGAACCAGCCAAGCCGCGUGCAGGAUGACUGCCCUAUGGGUUGUAAACUUCUUUUAUACGGGAGUAAACGCAGAUACGUGUAUCUUUUUGAAAGUAUUGUAUGAAUAAGGAUCGGCUAACUCCGUGCCAGCAGCCGCGGUAAUACGGAGGAUUCGAGCGUUAUCCGGAUUUAUUGGGUUUAAAGGGUGCGUAGACGGGUUGAUAAGUCAGUUGUGAAAGUUUGCGGCUCAACCGCAAAAUUGCCAUUGAUACUGGCAGUCUAGAGUACAGUUGAGGUAGGCGGAAUGCAUGGUGUAGCGGUGAAAUGCUUAGAGAUCACAAAGAACCCCGAUUGCGAAGGCAGCUUACUAAACUAUGACUGACAUUGAGGCACGAAAGCGUGGGGAUCAAACAGGAUUAGAUACCCGGGUAGUC